Non-coding RNA from Pelobates cultripes (western spadefoot toad), 2082 nucleotides. NCBI's taxonomy places the organism in Eukaryota, Metazoa, Chordata, Amphibia, Anura, Pelobatidae. The record is from the annotation of a GenBank genome assembly.
ACUCCAUUUGGGCUAUACCAGUUCAAGGUUAUGCCCUUUGGGAUGAAGAAUGCCCCGGCUACUUUUCAGAGGAUGGCCCAUAGGCUCCUAGAGGAGUUCCAGGACUUCGCAUGUGCGUAUCUAGACAAUAUUGCCGUCUACAGCCGCACUUGGGAAGACCACCUGGGGCACUUGUCCAGGGUACUCAAGCGGGUCUCACAUUGAAACCUGACAAAUGCCACGUAGGCAUGGCCGAGGUACAGUAUCUCGGCCACAGGGUAGGUUCCAGGAGGCAGCGUCCAGAGCCUGCUAAACUAGAGGCCAUAGCUAAUGGGCCUCAACCCCGUACUAAAACCCAGGUAUUAGCCUUUUUAGGGACGACCGGCUACUACCGAAAAUUUGUUCCAGAGUAUAGCGCCCUGGCCAAGCCUCUCACCGACCUUACCAAAAAGGCCCUACCUAAACAAGUGCCCUGGACCCCAGAGUGCGCGGACACUUUUCAGAGACUUAAAGCUGAAUUAAGUGAGGCCCCUGUGUUGGCAGCGCCCAACCAUACUAAACAAUUUCUUGUACACACAGAUGCUCCAUGUUUGGGCUGGGAGCCGUGUUGAGCCAAGUGGGGGACGACGGCAUGGAACACCUGGUGGCAUACCUUAGCCGUAAACUUUUGCCCAGAGAGGUCAGCUAUGCCACCGUAGAAAAAGAGUGCCUAGCCCUAGUUUGGGCCCUUAAGAAACUUCAACCUUACCUGUAUGGACGACCAUUUACCCUUAUGACCGACCACAACCCCCUUGUGUGGCUAAACCAGGUAGCUGAUCACAACCCCAGGCUAUUACGGUGGAGCCUAGCCCUUCAGCCAUAUAACUUUACUAUGCAAUACCGUCUGGGCAAACAAAACGGUAAUGCAGACGGUCUGUCUUGACAGACCGAACUGGACUCCUAAAGUACUUUUAUCGGACAUCCCCAAGCCAACCCGACAGGGUCUAGGUGGGUAUGCCGACCUAUGGAACUAUAGGGGAGCAGUGUGAAGAAAUCCCUCUUUAUGUUCAGUAUUUCUCCCCUGUUCAUUCGGUAGCUGUAACUACUGAACAGAGGCCACCCCCCUGGCUCGUUAAACUUCAAAGCAUGCCUCAAUUGAACCCUCUACCUGUACUACUGAACGUCACGUGGCUGAGAAAACGGCGGCCAUCUUUUUUUAUGCGAACAAAGGCAGCGGGACUUGGUCGUCGAGUGUCUGGAACUAAAAUCAGAUACUCGACUUCCCGAACACCGGUCUCAACAUACGAACGCUGAAUCUUUAUUUCCCGAACAGCUAGAAGAGCGCUGUUAUGUACUUUUGUUCAUUCGAAUGAGGGGAACAAUCGCUGCUAAGAGCCAGGGGAAACCGUUCGUGGGAUUAUUCAUUUUUUCCCACUUAAUGAAAUAGACCGGCAAAACUACCCAAAUUUAUGGAACUGUUUUGGGCAGCCACCUCAUGGUUAGCCGGUCAAAAAAGACUUCCAGAUUUUUUGAGAACCUCUGAACCGAUCUGGUUGAAAUUUGAAUAUGUUGGUCACCCAGAUCGGUGCUAUCAGGGGACAUAUUGUUUGUGGGGAUACCACAUGCCUAAAGGGGUGUUCUAAAUAUUGUGGAAAACUGUAAUUUUUCUGCCUGGAGAUAAUCAAGUUAUUACUUUAUCAGACUUGAUUAUCUCCAGGACUAGGGGAGGGAAUUGUAUGUUUGUGCUGGGAGUGUUUUACGUUUUUCUUGUAAAUGAUUGGAUGUACUUUGUCCCUCCCUAUGGGAUGUCCCCUUGCAUGGGGACUUGCGUAAAAAAACGUGUGUGAUCAUUAAAAGCCAGUUCUGUUGCAACCUUCUUCUAGACUUUGGCUGAUGUUUGGGGAUUUGUAUGCUUUAUUAAGGGAAUCGUCUUGUAAAGCUAUUGUAUUCGUAUGGAUUUCGUUUAUUUCAUCUACCGAAUGGAGAGCUAUAAUCACUGAUGUUCUGGCUGUUCGGGAGGAAACUACCAAAUGAGGAUUGGAUAUCCUAGGUUUCCUUACAGGCCUAAUAGCUAGGAACUAGCAUGUCUUUCAAAUUUCUGCCCCUGCGUGCUGUCACUGAGGG